This 61-nucleotide transfer RNA is filed under the name human gut metagenome. It matches the Rfam family "tRNA", at positions 9 to 63 of the family's 71-position model. From Rfam's summary of the family: Transfer RNA (tRNA) molecules are approximately 80 nucleotides in length. Their secondary structure includes four short double-helical elements and three loops (D, anti-codon, and T loops). The record is from RNAcentral.
AGCUCAAUUGGCAGAGCAUCUGAUUUGUAAUCAGAAGGUUGCGGGUUCAAGUCCCAUCACC